CGGGUCUCGGGUUUGGCUGGACCCUACCAUUGCCAUCCCUAGGUCUUGCCUACUUCUCAGCUGGUGUGGGUGGGUCGACCUCCAACCCUCCUGCCGAGCACCACCCUCAGAUUCUUCCAAUGCGGAAAACUUCAAAAUGAAGAUUAUCUCAGUCAAUGAAGGAGAGGAUCUCUUAGCAAAGAUUGUUGAUGCUACUAUCACUGAACCAGGGGUUGUUUUCGUAAUAACAACCACUGGGACGUUAUCAGGCGCCACAAUCCGACUACCUGCGGAAUAUGGCGAAC
Long non-coding RNA from Andrographis paniculata, 284 nucleotides. RefSeq lists it as uncharacterized. The record is from RefSeq and is a predicted model, not a curated record. NCBI's taxonomy places the organism in Eukaryota, Viridiplantae, Streptophyta, Magnoliopsida, Lamiales, Acanthaceae. The transcript is spliced from 3 exons.